Long non-coding RNA from Hibiscus syriacus, 223 nucleotides. RefSeq lists it as uncharacterized. The record is from RefSeq and is a predicted model, not a curated record. The transcript has 3 exons. Lineage: Eukaryota; Viridiplantae; Streptophyta; Magnoliopsida; Malvales; Malvaceae.
CCUAUACUCGUGGUAAUGAACUUCAAGUACCAGAUUGUACUCAUUAUUUCAUGGAAAAUUUGCAAAGAUUGUCGGAUGCCAAUUAUAUUCCAACAAAGGAAUGUUCUAUAUGCAAGAGUUCGUACAACUGGUGUCGUCGAAAUCCGGUUCAGCCCUGUGGGGGAGAAUAAGAAAAGUGGUGAAGUAUACAGACUCUUCGAUGUGGGAGGCCAGAGAAAUGAGA